Molecule: long non-coding RNA, 224 nt
Filed under: Calidris pugnax (ruff)
Lineage: Eukaryota; Metazoa; Chordata; Aves; Charadriiformes; Scolopacidae
Description: lncRNA (ENSCPUG00000003372.1)
Source: RNAcentral
AGCACGUCUUGGCAGAGAUGAGAGACACUGCUCGCUUCCAUAGCCACCCUUAAAAUUUAUUUUAAACAGUACUUGUGCACGUGGAGUUUAAGUUGUAUAUGGGCACUCAUGAUCAGCACUUGUCAAACUGAGGGGUGGUACAGAAACAGACAUUUGUGAUUAUUUGCACUGGGUCCUCUAGCAGGACACUCUCCUCAAAGCAAAAUGUAAAGAGAAUAUUGGAU